This 274-nucleotide ribosomal RNA is filed under the name uncultured bacterium. Its description in RNAcentral is "partial 16S ribosomal RNA". It matches the Rfam family "Bacterial small subunit ribosomal RNA", at positions 523 to 796 of the family's 1533-position model. The record is from RNAcentral.
AUACGGAGGGUGCAAGCGUUACUCGGAAUCACUGGGCGUAAAGCGCGCGCAGGCGGGCUGAUAAGUUGGAUGUGAAAGCCUACGGCUCAACCGUAGAACUGCAUCCAAAACUGUCAGUCUGGAGUGUGGGAGAGGAAGAUGGAAUUAGUUGUGUAGGGGUAAAAUCCGUAGAGAUAACUAGGAAUACCAAAAGCGAAGGCAAUCUUCUGGAACACUACUGACGCUGAGGCGCGAAGGCGUGGGGAGCAAACAGGAUUAGAAACCCGGGUAGUCC